UGGGAAUUUGGACAAUGGGCGAAAGCCUGAUCCAGCAAUGCCGCGUGUGUGAAGAAGGCCUUCGGGUUGUAAAGCACUUUUGUCCGGAAAGAAAUCCUUGGCUCUAAUACAGUCGGGGGAUGACGGUACCGGAAGAAUAAGCACCGGCUAACUACGUGCCAGCAGCCGCGGUAAUACGUAGGGUGCAAGCGUUAAUCGGAAUUACUGGGCGUAAAGCGUGCGCAGGCGGUUUGCUAAGACCGAUGCGAAAUCCCCGGGCUCAACCUGGGAACUGCAUUGGUGACUGGCAGGCUAGAGUAUGGCAGAGGGGGGUAGAAUUCCACGUNUAGCAGUGAAAUGCGUAGAGAUGUGGAGGAAUACCGAUGGCGAAGGCAGCCCCCUGGGCCAAUACUGACGUUCAUGCACGAAAGCGUGGGGGAGCAAACAGGAUUAGAUACCCUGGUAGUCCACGCCCUAAACGAUGUCAACUAGUUGUUGGGGAUUCAUUUCCUUAGU
Molecule: ribosomal RNA, 495 nt
Filed under: uncultured bacterium
Lineage: Bacteria
Description: partial 16S ribosomal RNA
Rfam family: Bacterial small subunit ribosomal RNA
Source: RNAcentral